This 440-nucleotide ribosomal RNA is filed under the name uncultured bacterium. RNAcentral describes it as "bacterial SSU rRNA". It matches the Rfam family "Bacterial small subunit ribosomal RNA", at positions 28 to 481 of the family's 1533-position model. The record is from RNAcentral.
GAUGAACGCUGGCGGCGUGCUUAACACAUGCAAGUCGAACGGUGAAAGAGGAGCUUGCUCCUCUGGAUCAGUGGCGAACGGGUGAGUAACACGUGAGCAAUCUGCCCCUGACUCUGGGAUAACAGCUGGAAACAGCUGCUAAUACCGGAUACGAGACGUGAUCGCAUGAUCAACGUCUGGAAAGAACUUCGGUCAGGGAUGAGCUCACGGCCUAUCAGCUUGUUGGUGAGGUAAUGGCUCACCAAGGCGACGACGGGUAGCCGGCCUGAGAGGGUGACCGGCCACACUGGGACUGAGACACGGCCCAGACUCCUACGGGAGGCAGCAGUGGGGAAUAUUGCACAAUGGGCGCAAGCCUGAUGCAGCAACGCCGCGUGAGGGACGACGGCCUCGGUUGUAACGUACUUAGUCUACGAAGAAGACGAAGUAGACGGUACGUU